GAUGAACGCUGGCGGCGUGCCUAAUACAUGCAAGUCGAGCGAACGGACGAGAAGCUUGCUUCUCUGAUGUUAGCGGCGGACGGGUGAGUAACACGUGGAUAACCUACCUAUAAGACUGGGAUAACUUCGGGAAGCCGGAGCUAAUACCGGAUAAUAUUUUGAACCGCAUGGUUCAAAAGUGAAAGACGGUCUUGCUGUCACUUAUAGAUGGAUCCGCGCUGCAUUAGCUAGUUGGUAAGGUAACGGCUUACCAAGGCAACGAUGCAUAGCCGACCUGAGAGGGUGAUCGGCCACACUGGAACUGAGACACGGUCCAGACUCCUACGGGAGGCAGCAGUAGGGAAUCUUCCGCAAUGGGCGAAAGCCUGACGGAGCAACGCCGCGUGAGUGAUGAAGGUCUUCGGAUCGUAAAAAUCUGUUAUUAGGGAAGAACAUAUGUGUAAGUAACUGUGCACAUCUUGACGGUACCUAAUCAGAAAGCCACGGCUAACUACGUG
This 497-nucleotide ribosomal RNA is filed under the name uncultured bacterium. RNAcentral's name for it is "partial 16S ribosomal RNA". It matches the Rfam family "Bacterial small subunit ribosomal RNA", at positions 28 to 507 of the family's 1533-position model. The record is from RNAcentral.